GACGAACGCUGGCGGCGUGCUUAACACAUGCAAGUCGAACGGAAAGGCCCUGCUUUUGUGGGGUGCUCGAGUGGCGAACGGGUGAGUAACACGUGAGUAACCUGCCCUUGACUUUGGGAUAACUUCAGGAAACUAGGGCUAAUACCGGAUAGGAGCUCCUGCUGCAUGGUGGGGGUUGGAAAGUUUCGGCGGUUGGGGAUGGACUCGCGGCUUAUCAGCUUGUUGGUGGGGUUGUGGCUUACCAAGGCUUUGACGGGUAGCCGGCAUGGGGGGGUGACCGGCCAAGUUGGGAUUGAGAGAAGAGCCGGAGUGCGGGGGGAGGAAGCGGUGGGGAAGUUUGAAAAGUGGGGGAAGGUAGGGAGCAGCAACGCCGGGGGGGGGAGGGCGGCUUGCGGUUGGUAACCCGUUUUCGCCUGUGAAGAAGGGGGGGUGACGUUAAGGGGUAAAGAAGCCCCGGCUAACUACGUG
Molecule: ribosomal RNA, 468 nt
Filed under: uncultured bacterium
Lineage: Bacteria
Description: partial 16S ribosomal RNA
Rfam family: Bacterial small subunit ribosomal RNA
Source: RNAcentral